CCCCAAACCUCCCCCGUGACCAAACCAAGCUUGGUUUGCUUCAAAUCUAACUAGAAAAUUCAAAUCUCAAAUCAAGUCCUCAAGAACCGUAGAAAAUCAAGGGAUGGAAUCUGUCCAAUUUACUUUAAUCGAGGUGUUCUCAGUUAAGAACACUUAUACUAAAGUCUGUUCGACCUCAAAGGGGCCAGUCCGAGUUCGAACCUGGGUCGCCUGAGUUCUGAGGUACCUUUUUCUUUUCUUCUUGUUCUAUAUUCACGAUUCUUACCUGUUUAUCAUUUUAGUUUGGUUUUUAUUUGGCUUUUCAAUUUUUCUUUCAGUUUUUAUUCUUUCUAUUCUUCUCUGAAUCAAAGACCUUUUUAUUUGUUGUUGCUGAAUCUGUUGCUUUGCUAAGUGCUACUGCCACUACUGAUCUUUAUCUCAUUUCUUGUUUUUUCUCAAAUUCCAGGUACACAUUGUUACACUGGUACACACAAUUGAUAUAUUGGUUCAAUGUAGCUGAAACUUGAAGCAUGAAUAAAAGGAUAUGAAGAAUUGUAAUUGGAACUUAAUGUAGUUUUCUUCUCUGUCUUUGUUGGUUGUAGUUUAAGACAUUUUGUACACUUGGUAUGUAAACUUUGCCAUCAAACUGCAUACCUAAACAGUAAUUACCCUAUAGUGGGUUAGUUAGCUAAAUUUCUUAUGUAUGCUAGUUGGAAAAGAAUUAAUGAUGUAGUAGUAUUCUGCCAUCAAACGUCCCAUAUAGGCUUAAUUGAAAAUUGAUAAUGUAGCAGCCAUGUUCAUUUAC
RNAcentral lists this long non-coding RNA (784 nucleotides) under Nicotiana benthamiana. RNAcentral's name for it is "long non-coding RNA (NBEN_LNC012545)". Lineage: Eukaryota; Viridiplantae; Streptophyta; Magnoliopsida; Solanales; Solanaceae. The record is from RNAcentral.